RNAcentral lists this ribosomal RNA (467 nucleotides) under uncultured bacterium. Its description in RNAcentral is "partial 16S ribosomal RNA". It matches the Rfam family "Bacterial small subunit ribosomal RNA", at positions 28 to 506 of the family's 1533-position model. The record is from RNAcentral.
GACGAACGCUGGCGGCGUGCUUAACACAUGCAAGUCGAACGGAAAGGCCCUGCUUUUGUGGGGUGCUCGAGUGGCGAACGGGUGAGUAACACGUGAGUAACCUGCCCUUGACUUUGGGAUAACUUCAGGAAACUGGGGCUAAUACCGGAUAGGAGCUCCUGCUGCAUGGUGGGGGUUGGAAAGUUUCGGCGGUUGGGGAUGGACUCGCGGCUUAUCAGCUUGUUGGUGGGGUAGUGGCUUACCAAGGCUUUGACGGGUAGCCGGCCUGAGAGGGUGACCGGCCACAUUGGGACUGAGAUACGGCCCAGACUCCUACGGGAGGCAGCAGUGGGGAAUAUUGCACAAUGGGCGGAAGCCUGAGGCAGCAACGCCGCGUGCGGGAGGACGGCCUUCGGGUUGUAAACCGCUUUCGCCUGUGACGAAGCGUGAGUGACGGUAAUGGGGAAAGAAGCACCGGCUAACUACGU